Asterias rubens (European starfish) is the source of this 1790-nucleotide RNA transcript. RefSeq lists it as uncharacterized. The record is from RefSeq and is a predicted model, not a curated record. NCBI's taxonomy places the organism in Eukaryota, Metazoa, Echinodermata, Asteroidea, Forcipulatida, Asteriidae. The transcript is spliced from 7 exons.
GAGACUGGAAGACAGCAUGCUGUAUCUCUCGGCUCCAACUGUAGGACUAGGACUUCGCGUUUUUGGACGAACUUUACUGACGAAUUUAUCAAACUUCUUACCAUGACCAAUCUUCUGCAUUCAGUUAUAACUGUUGGAUUAUUAUAACACUCUUUAUCUGAGACGGAGGCUUGGUCAAUAUUUUAAGGGCAAGGAAGUCUGAACUCAAUUGACUUUUUGUCAUCGGUGGCAAGAAAGAUUUUUUACAAAAAGCUGGACAGGCCUACUCAAAAAAAAAUAUACUCGAAACAAAAGUCACUAGGCCGGCAUGUUAACUGGGAGUUUGUCACAUUAAAUCUCAAGUCCGACAACAAAAUAUGUUACUUUCGGAUGGGCUGCGAGUGGCUGGAAAGAGCUCCCCUGAAUUACCGUAGCCUAUAAGAUUGCAGUUAUAUGAAACUUCAUUACCGAACGCCAUCUUGUUGAGGCAAGGCUUCGAUACAUCUAUAGACCAAAAUCGUAGUAAUAACUCCACUUCGAACUUGAACUAACAUAGAUGGGUUUAUGGGAUUUACUUAUACGUCACGUGGGGAACGUCGGUGGAGGAAGACGGGGAACGACACUUGAAGCAGACCAAGCAGCGAGCUCGAUCAGCCAAGAUUCAACUGUUGAGUUGCAAAAACUACACCUUCUCGCUGACGGUUCUCAAGCCCUUGAAGUGACAGGGUGUCUGUGUUCAGAUGGGAGUUGAAGAUCUAUGGAUAUGUGGCCGGGUGUUUGUGUGUUUUUGUCUAUGGAUCUGGACGUACAAUGGAGUCACCAAAGGACCAAGUCUUUCAACACAAUGUUGAAAUGCUCUUUGAUGUCUCUAAUUCGUGAGCUGAGGUCAGGAGUUUGCAGCAGAGAUCUUGUUUUAUUCUUGAAGAUGAAGGUGAUGCCUAUGCGAGCAGGCACUUGGUGUAGCUUGUGGAAUGGCGACUACAACUGGACCUGUUUGGAUGAACAUGUUGGAGGUCAAAGAUCAUACAUUAGUCUGCUUGGUAGAGUAUAAACAAAAUUAUAAUUCUAAAACUUAUUUUACGAAAGAAAAGGUUAAUCCCACAUAGGGGCCUACUUGGCAAAUUGAGUUGAUGUUUAAAAAAAACACAUCUUCAAUGAUUUUCUUUUUUUUUAAAUACAUUCUUUCACAUCCUGAAGUUUUUGAUAAACAAACGACCAACAGGGUAAAGUUUAUCAGCAGUAUUUUUGAAGGACAAAAAGAAAACCUAAAACUGAUCAGAGCUAUCAAAUAAUUUUCUUUCACAUGAUAGCAUUCACAUUUUAACUGUUCAAUUCAAUUCAAUUCGAUUGAACAAACUUUAAUUAUCCUUAAUAGGCAAUUUACAUCAUUUGGCUAGCUCCAUAUUCACACACUGUGGCAAUUCUUGGACACCGUGUAUAUACAAUCUGGUUUUGGUAAAGUAUUGUGGUAACAUCAGGUAAUUGUGAGACAAUUUUUUGCUAAUUGGUGUGACCCCAUUAUUAUAACCAUUCUACAUAUAUUUGUUCUUCCAAACAGCAGGUCGUGUUUUCAUCUUGAAGAUGAUGAAGUUGUUUGUGAGCUGAAAUAAUCACUGAGCUGAGGAGAUGCCUAUACCAGCAGAGACAUGAUGGGUCUUGGACAAUUGUCCAGCUGUCUCUUGUUGAGUGGUGACUACAACUGGACCUGCUAAGAAUCAACAGACUGCUUUCUCUUGCUGGGAUGGUGACUACAACUGGACCUGUAUGGAUAAGCAUCAUUGGAGGACAGGAAUACGGAGUUGUGACUACAA